RNAcentral lists this non-coding RNA (27 nucleotides) under Homo sapiens (human). Lineage: Eukaryota; Metazoa; Chordata; Mammalia; Primates; Hominidae. The record is from RNAcentral.
CUGAGAGUCACAGUCCUGGGAUGGACC